RNAcentral lists this long non-coding RNA (475 nucleotides) under Homo sapiens (human). RNAcentral describes it as "HSALNT0092648". The record is from RNAcentral. Lineage: Eukaryota; Metazoa; Chordata; Mammalia; Primates; Hominidae.
CUUUGCUGCCAGUCAAAUUUGGGGAAAGCUCAUUGUUCUCUGACUUACAGCUCUUUCCACCACUGUGUGCUCCAGUUUCCAAGAUUUGCUUUUUUUCUCUGGUCUCGGUAACUUGUCUCUCCCCCUUGCCAGAUUUUCCCGGGCAUCUAAAGUCUUGCCCCAGUCCUCAGUGACUGCAGCCUCUCUGCCUGAUCUGCAGAUUGAUUUUUACGAUAAAGCCCACCUGACUCAAGGGCCAUUCAUCCAGGGUUCCUGGCUCCUGCGCUGCUGCCUGAGAGAGACCUGUUGAUCACAUAGACGAGGCCACCACGCUUUACAUACAAGGCCAGGUGACACAAAGCCAGCAGUUAAGGGAAGCAGAAAGACUCCACGGGCCAGGCUGGGUGUCAGCAUCAGGAAACCAUUAGAAGGCAAAGAGGGAAGUAAAACCCAGUGGGAGAGGCCCUUCUUGUCCAGAGGGAUCUCCUACAGAAAC